AUGCAAGUCGAACGGUAACAGAANAGCUUGCUCUUGCUGACGAGUGGCGGACGGGUGAGUAAUGUAUGGGGAUCUGCCAAAUGGAAGGGGACAACAGUUGGAAACGACUGCUAAUACCGUAUAAUGUCGCGAGACCAAAGUGUGGGACCUUCGGGCCACAUACCAUUUGAUGAACCCAUAUGGGAUUAGCUAGUAGGUAGGGUAAAGGCCUACCUAGGCGACGAUCUCUAGCUGGUCUGAGAGGAUGACCAGCCACACUGGAACUGAGACACGGUCCAGACUCCUACGGGAGGCAGCAGUGGGGAAUAUUGCACAAUGGGGGAAACCCUGAUGCAGCCAUGCCGCGUGUAUGAAGAAGGCCUUAGGGUUGUAAAGUACUUUCGGUAAUGAGGAAGGUAACUAUUCUAACAGGAUAGUUAAUUGACGUUAAUUACAGAAGAAGCACCGGCUAACUCCGUGCCAGCAGCCGCGGUAAUACGGAGGGUGCGAGCGUUAAUCGGAAUGACUGGGCGUAAAGGGCAUGUAGGCGGAUGAUUAAGUUAGGUGUGAAAGCCCCGGGCUCAACCUGGGAAUUGCACUUAAAACUGGUUAUCUAGAGUAUUGUAGAGGAAGGUAGAAUUCCACGUGUAGCGGUGAAAUGCGUAGAGAUGUGGAGGAAUACCGGUGGCGAAGGCGGCCUUCUGGACAAAUACUGACGCUGAGAUGCGAAAGCGUGGGGAGCAAACAGGAUUAGAUACCCUGGUAGUCCACGCUGUAAACGAUGUCGAUUUUGGAUUUUGGGGGCAUGACCCUUGGGCUCCGGAGCUAACGCGUUUAAUCGACCGCCUGGGGAGUACGGCCCCAAGGUUAAAACUCAAAUGAAUUUGACGGGGGCCCCCACAACCGGUGGAACCUGUUGGUUUAAUUCGAAGCCACCCCAAAUAACCUUUUCCUGGUCCUUGACAUCCAUAAAAACCUUUCCAAAAAAAAAAAAAUUCCCUU
Molecule: ribosomal RNA, 981 nt
Filed under: uncultured bacterium
Lineage: Bacteria
Description: bacterial SSU rRNA
Rfam family: Bacterial small subunit ribosomal RNA
Source: RNAcentral